AGUCCAGCCUCCCCCUUGUGAGCGACUGGAGCAAUCUGGCUAAGGAAGAAGAGGAGGAGGAGGAGGAGCUCUUUAAGAAUGUUACACAAGAGACGUCGGUAUCCCAGCUGGAUAAUUCAUAAGCUGAAAAGCAACAGCAUUUCUUGGUACGCCUGCUUUGGCAUACAUCAGCAUUUCUACCCGUCCAAGUGUCCUUUUGCGUCACAUCUCGCCAUCUCACUCAACCAAUGAAAUCUCCUUCUUGC
Molecule: long non-coding RNA, 245 nt
Organism: Calidris pugnax (ruff)
Lineage: Eukaryota; Metazoa; Chordata; Aves; Charadriiformes; Scolopacidae
Exons: 3
Source: RefSeq, a predicted model, not a curated record